CCUACGGGAGGCAGCAGUAGGGAAUCUUCCACAAUGGGCGAAAGCCUGAUGGAGCAACGCCGCGUGAGUGAUGAAGGCCUUCGGGUUGUAAAACUCUGUCAUUCGGGACGAACCGGAGUCUGAGGAAAUGCAGACUCUCUGACGGUACCGGAGGAGGAAGCCCCGGCUAACUACGUGCCAGCAGCCGCGGUAAUACGUAGGGGGCAAGCGUUGUCCGGAUUCACUGGGCGUAAAGCGCGCGCAGGCGGUGAUGUAAGUCUGAGGUGAAAACCCGAAGCUCAACUUCGGGACUGCCUUGGAUACUGCGUCACUUGAGGAUAGGAGAGGCAAGGGGAAUUCCACGUGUAGCGGUGAAAUGCGUAGAGAUGUGGAGGAACACCUGUGGCGAAGGCGCCUUGCUGGCCUAUUUCUGACGCUGAGGCGCGAAAGCGUGGGGAGCAAACAGGAUUAGAUACCCUGGUAGUCCACGCUGUAAACGAUGAGUGCUAGGUGUAGGUGGGCUCAUACCCAUCUGUGCCGAAGCUAACGCAUUAAGCACUCCGCCUGGGGAGUACGGUCGCAGACUGAAACUCAAGGAUUGAGG
Molecule: ribosomal RNA, 583 nt
Filed under: uncultured bacterium
Lineage: Bacteria
Description: bacterial SSU rRNA
Rfam family: Bacterial small subunit ribosomal RNA
Source: RNAcentral